This 67-nucleotide transfer RNA is filed under the name Idris sp. MM-2013. RNAcentral's name for it is "tRNA-Asp". The record is from RNAcentral. Lineage: Eukaryota; Metazoa; Arthropoda; Insecta; Hymenoptera; Scelionidae.
UUAAAAUUAGUUAAAUAUAUAACAUUAAUUUGUCAAAUUAAAAUUAUUUUAAUAAAAAUAUCUUCAU